UCAUGUAAUUAAAAACCAAAUCCUCAUCAUUGUGUUGGAAGGUACCCUAAGACACAAAUAAUCAUACAAAAACAACUUUUUUAGGUUUUUCAAAACAAUUUUUCAAAUUUUUAUGAGAUUUUCGGAUUUUUAUAUCAAAACAAACUAAAACACUUCAAAACAGCUUAAAAACACUUAAAAGAGCAAGGAACAACAUUAGAAGUAAUGGGUGAUAAACUCCUACGACUUUCAUGCAAAACAAUGGUUACCCCCCACACUUAAAUCAAACAUUGUCCUCAAUGUUUCAAGCAUAAACUCACACAAAAACAAACAAAUAAACAAACAACGAAUAAACAUGACAAGUAUAGCAAAGUAAACAAAAAAAUAGACAGAGUAGAGUUUAAGAACGCAAAUCUGGUUUUGGAGAUAGAUGAUCUUGUUGACUUUCCACAGCUUUGAUCUCGAACUGGUUUGGAAUUCUGAGCGAGGAAUAUCAGAGUUCCUUGGUUUCAAAUCAGACUCCUUCUGCUGGGAUGAUUUGAUUGUGCAGUCUGCAUUUUUCUCUGCUUGUUUCUUCUACACGGCGGGCAGGCACGAGGUAAAGGUGUUGGUCUGUUUCUUUCUUCAAUCUUUCCAAGUGCCCACCUCUUGCUUUCUUUAUCCUUGUCCCUAGCUGAGGAUGAAUUGGCAAAUUGUCUCCACAUGCUUCGAGGUAUCAUUUUCACUUCCCUUAUGAUGCGGUAGACGAAGCGAAAGCAUAAGAUGAUGAAGAUGAGUACUCGAAAGCAAGGCUCGGGAAGCAAUCAUGAAGGGGUUCCAGGCAGUCGGUUCUAGAUCGAAACAACGACAAGGAGAAGAACAGGGAGAAAGCAUGAUAUGAGAUACUCUUGCUUUCAACCUUCAUGAUAUAAAAUACUUUUGCUUUGGAUGAGUUGUUUGCAGAGGUACCCCAAGGAAUAAGGAACACUGAGUGACUCGAGAGGGUUUGUUGGAAAGGUGUUGGUCUGUUUCUUUCUUCAAUCUUUCCAAGUGCCCACCUCUUGCUUUCUUUCUCCUUGUCCCUAGCUGAGGAUGAAUUGGCAAAUUGUCUCCACCUGCUUCGAGGUAUCAUUUUCACUUCCCUUAUGAUGCGGUAGACGAAGCGAAAGCAUAAGAUGAUGAAGAUGAGUACUCGAGAGCAAGGCUCGGGAAGCAAUCAUGAAGGGGUUCCAGGUAGUCGGUUCUAGAUCGGAAGAUUGAUACCAAGUGCUGGCUGAUUACUCACUUUCUCCUUUUCCUAAAACAAUGACAAGGAGAAGGACAGGGAGAAAGCAUGAUAUGAGAUACUCUUGCUUUCAACUUUCAUGAUAUGAAAUACUUUUGCUUUGGAUGGGUUGUUUGCAGAGGUACCCCAAGGAAUAAGGAACACUGAGUGACUCGAGAGGGUUUGUUGGAAAGGCAUUCUCGGAGAUGACAGAAGGUUAUGUAUGUCUGCCUUGCCAUGGAGGGUGAAGGUCGACAUUUAUAGGAAAUAAUAACCGGUACUGUUCUUUCACUCCUGUCGGCAACCGUUGGAUGAUUGAACAGUAAACUUCACGUGUUUUCUACUUCAACAGAAAUCGUCGACAGAUUUCCCGUGAUUUCCUCAAAGCUGACGAGGCUGAGAAAGACAGAUGGUUGGAAUCGGCGCUUCGACAAAUUGCUCGUGAUUUUCUCAAAGCUUUCUCUGCAUGUGACAAGUGCUGACGAGGCUGAGAGAGACAGGCGCAUCUUCGCUAUCUGAGAUCAAUGCUUCGACAAAUUUUCCGUGAUUUUCGCAAAGCUGAGUUUGCGUGUGACGGGUGCUGACGAGGCUGAGAAAGCUGACACUCUUCGAUAUCUGGAAUCGGUGGUUUGUGAGCAAGCCCAACUUUUGAGAAAGCUGGCCCCUCUUCGAUUUUUGAAUUGGCUUCUUCGAUUUCUGAGCUCGCCUCUUCGAUCUCUGAAAUCCCAUCGCGUGUUGAUUUUUAUAGAGGUAUGCAGGACGUUCAAAGCACACUUGAAUUUCUGCCUAUAAA
This 2015-nucleotide long non-coding RNA is filed under the name Malus domestica (apple). RNAcentral describes it as "long non-coding RNA (MDOM_LNC003352)". The record is from RNAcentral. Lineage: Eukaryota; Viridiplantae; Streptophyta; Magnoliopsida; Rosales; Rosaceae.